Molecule: unclassified non-coding RNA, 337 nt
Filed under: soil metagenome
Description: partial contains 5.8S ribosomal RNA, internal transcribed spacer 2, and large subunit ribosomal RNA
Rfam family: 5.8S ribosomal RNA (bases 1-120)
Source: RNAcentral
GAUGAAGAACGUAGCGAAAUGCGAUAAGUAGUGUGAAUUGCAGAAUUCAGUGAAUCAUCGAAUCUUUGAACGCACAUUGCGCCCCUUGGUAUUCCAUGGGGCAUGCCUGUUCGAGCGUCAUUUGUACCUUCAAGCUCUGCUUGGUGUUGGGUGUUUGUCUCGCCUCUGCGUGUAGACUCGCCUCAAAACAAUUGGCAGCCGGCGUAUUGAUUUCGGAGCGCAGUACAUCUCGCGCUUUACACUCAUAACGACGACGUCCAAAAGUACAUUUUUACACUCUUGACCUCGGAUCAGGUAGGGAUACCCGCUGAACUUAAGCAUAUCAAUAAGCGGAGGA